This 460-nucleotide ribosomal RNA is filed under the name uncultured bacterium. Its description in RNAcentral is "partial 16S ribosomal RNA". It matches the Rfam family "Bacterial small subunit ribosomal RNA", at positions 338 to 795 of the family's 1533-position model. The record is from RNAcentral.
CCUACGGGAGGCAGCAGUGUGGAAUAUUGGUCAAUGGACGAGAGUCUGAACCAGCCAAGUAGCGUGAAGGAUGACUGCCCUAUGGGUUGUAAACUUCUUUUAUAUAGGAAUAAAAUGUUCCACGUGUGGCAUUUUGUAUGUACCAUAUUAAUAAGGAUCGGCUAACUCAGUGCCAGCAGCCGCGGUAAUACGGAGGAUCCGAGCGUUAUCCGGAUUUAUUGGGUUUAAAGGGAGCGUAGGUGGAUUGUUAAGUCAGUUGUGAAAGUUUGCGGCUCAACCGUAAAAUUGCAGUUGAAACUGGCAGUCUUGAGUACAGUAGAGGUGGGCGGAAUUCGUGGUGUAGCGGUGAAAUGCUUAGAUAUCACGAAGAACUCCGAUUGCGAAGGCAGCUCACUGGACUGCAACUGACACUGAGGCUCGAAAGUGUGGGUAUCAAACAGGAUUAGAUACCCGGGUAGUC